RNAcentral lists this transfer RNA (75 nucleotides) under [Clostridium] scindens. Its description in RNAcentral is "tRNA-Met". It matches the Rfam family "tRNA". From Rfam's summary of the family: Transfer RNA (tRNA) molecules are approximately 80 nucleotides in length. Their secondary structure includes four short double-helical elements and three loops (D, anti-codon, and T loops). Lineage: Bacteria; Bacillati; Bacillota; Clostridia; Lachnospirales; Lachnospiraceae. RNAcentral also lists the same sequence under 16 other names. The record is from RNAcentral.
GGCGGGAUAGCUCAGUUGGCUAGAGCACACGGUUCAUACCCGUGGUGUCGCUGGUUCAAAUCCAGUUCCCGCUAC